UCCUAAAGUGUCUUGUUUGUGCCAAGCU
This 28-nucleotide non-coding RNA is filed under the name Rattus norvegicus (Norway rat). The record is from RNAcentral. Lineage: Eukaryota; Metazoa; Chordata; Mammalia; Rodentia; Muridae.